AAACCUCAACUCCUCAUGGCUUGCCAUGAUGAGCUUGGACUUGGGGGUCUUGCUGGCCUGCAGUCAGCUCCUCUCAAAUAAAUCAGCUUGCCAGUGUUUGGUGGCACCACAGGUGUGAUAAACAUCUAUGCUUGUGGUUGUCUGCCAUGGAACCUUCAGCGAUGGAGGUUUGCUGGAGCUUACAAAAGUCUCUCCUCAGUGAGGACAGCGAUUUGAAC
RNAcentral lists this unclassified non-coding RNA (218 nucleotides) under uncultured Tomentella. RNAcentral's name for it is "sequence contains ITS2". The record is from RNAcentral. Lineage: Eukaryota; Fungi; Basidiomycota; Agaricomycetes; Thelephorales; Thelephoraceae.